Molecule: unclassified non-coding RNA, 348 nt
Filed under: soil metagenome
Description: partial contains 5.8S ribosomal RNA, internal transcribed spacer 2, and large subunit ribosomal RNA
Rfam family: 5.8S ribosomal RNA (bases 1-120)
Source: RNAcentral
GAUGAAGAACGCAGCGAAAUGCGAUAAGUAAUGUGAAUUGCAGAAUUCAGUGAAUCAUCGAAUCUUUGAACGCACAUUGCGCCCGCCAGUAUUCUGGCGGGCAUGCCUGUCUGAGCGUCAUUUCAACCCUCAUGCCCCUAGGGCGUGGUGUUGGGGAUCGGCCAAAGCCCGCGAGGGACGGCCGGCCCCUAAAUCUAGUGGCGGACCCGUCGUGGCCUCCUCUGCGAAGUAGUGAUAUUCCGCAUCGGAGAGCGAUGAGCCCCUGCCGUUAAAACCCCAACUUUCCAAGGUUGACCUCAGAUCAGGUAGGAAUACCCGCUGAACUUAAGCAUAUCAAUAAGCGGAGGA